Molecule: ribosomal RNA, 253 nt
Filed under: uncultured bacterium
Lineage: Bacteria
Description: partial 16S ribosomal RNA
Rfam family: Bacterial small subunit ribosomal RNA
Source: RNAcentral
UACGAAGGGGGCUAGCGUUGCUCGGAAUGACUGGGCGUAAAGGGCGCGUAGGCGGAUGGCACAGUCAGAUGUGAAAUUCCCGGGCUUAACCUGGGGGCUGCAUUUGAUACGUGUUGUCUUGAGUUCGGAAGAGGGUCGUGGAAUUCCCAGUGUAGAGGUGAAAUUCGUAGAUAUUGGGAAGAACACCGGUGGCGAAGGCGGCGACCUGGUCCGACACUGACGCUGAGGCACGAAAGCGUGGGGAGCAAACAGG